AAUAUCACUAGUGGGCCGGGCCGUUACAAUUAAGAAAUCGUGUAAUAAAUUGAAAGUGAAAUAAGAUUGUUUGGGGUUUUGAUGUCUUUAUCUCAAACACAUAUUUGAUUUUAAUAUUGCAAUAAUUUUCACUAAUUUUUAGGGGAAAAAAAAGGUUUGAGGAACAAAUAACAAUAAAACAACUAAAUCAAAAUUUCAAAGAAUUUAACAUCAAAUUUCUAUUUAUAUUAAAAGUUAGAAGUGAUAACUCGUCAAGCUAUGAAAUCUUGGUAAUUCCAUUACAAAUUUGUUGCUAGAAACUUCAAUAAAAAAAAUUAAAUAAUAAAAAUAAUUAAAUCUAAACAAUUUGAUGAGCAACCUGUUUUGCUAACCCUUCAACUAUUGAAUUAUAAUUUAACUUCUCUAAAUAAAUAUACUAAAUUUGUAACUUCAUUAAAAAUAAGACAAAUUUCAGAGAUCCUUUAAUUGAAGAUGAGCCAUUGUAUGACAUUCUUAGAAUCAGAUUCAAUUUUGACGUUAAAGUCUUUGAUCCACAACAAAGAAGCAUAAAGAGAAAGAGCUUCAGGCAUAACAACAAGUAGUUUUGCUUUAUUAGAGUCCAUGAUACCAACAAGGGAAGAAAACAUGCAAUGAAAUGGAACAAUAGAGAACAGACAAUGCCAUCCCUGCUAAAAAACUUCUAUUUUUAUUUUUGGGGACAUGCCAAGCCAAACCCAAGAUAAUAAUGUAGAAAGGGGAAAAAGAGCCUUAUUUAGUAGCUUUGCAAGAGAAUAAAUAAUGAAAUUUCCUUUGAUGGUGUGCUUCCAUUCAAGCUUGUCAUGCUUAAGGGGUACAUUAACCACUCAAAUAUUUAAUACCAAAAUCUAGCCUUAAUCAAAGCAGCUAGCCUUAAUCAACUGACCAAAAAAAAAAAAAAAAACAGCAGCUAGCCUUAAUCAAAGUUCCACGAGAGUCCUCUUUGGUGAAGGAUUCUCAAAUAUUUUUCUAAAGACUAUAGCAUAUUGGAUAGAAGGGACUAAAUAUGGAUAAAUACACCAACACUACUUUUAAGUAAAGCUUUCGUAGAGCCAUUAUUUUUGUAAGUAACAUUAGAAUAAGCCUUUCCAAACAUGUUAGAAGAAUCAGCCUUCUUACCAUUACCUACUGAUUCAAUAGCACCUCUGACAUUGUUGUGCACUUCAGUUGUACCAGUAUCACAAGCAUUGGUUCCAUUGAAAGUAUUAGAUUUCUGCAUGUGAAUUGUUUUGCAGAAAGGAUCUUUCUGAAAAAUAUUUUUUUUAUAUAUUUUUUAAUUU
This 1295-nucleotide unclassified non-coding RNA is filed under the name Hevea brasiliensis (rubber tree). The record is from RNAcentral. Lineage: Eukaryota; Viridiplantae; Streptophyta; Magnoliopsida; Malpighiales; Euphorbiaceae.